GGAAUAUUGGACAAUGGGCGAAAGCCUGAUCCCGCAAUGCCGCGUGUGUGAAGAAGGCCUGCGGGUUGUAAAGCACUUUCAGUCGAGAAGAAAAGCCUACGGUUAAUAACCGUGAGUCUUGACGUAACCUAAAGCAGAAGCACCGCCUAACUCCUUGCCAGCAGCCGCGGUAAUACGGAGGGUGCAAGCGUUAAUCGGAAUUACUGGGCGUAAAGCGCGCGUAGGCGGCGUUGUAAGUCGGAUGUGAAAGCCCUGGGCUUAACCUGGGAAUUGCAUUCGAUACUGCAUGGCUAGAGUAUGGUAGAGGGAAGUGGAAUUUCCGGUGUAGCGGUGAAAUGCGUAGAUAUCGGAAGGAACACCAGUGGCGAAGGCGACUUCCUGGGCCAAUACUGACGCUGAGGUGCGAAAGCGUGGGGAGCGAAC
RNAcentral lists this ribosomal RNA (423 nucleotides) under uncultured bacterium. Its description in RNAcentral is "bacterial SSU rRNA". It matches the Rfam family "Bacterial small subunit ribosomal RNA", at positions 358 to 773 of the family's 1533-position model. The record is from RNAcentral.